GGAGACUGCCGGUGUCAAACCGGAGGAAGGUGGGGACGACGUCAAGUCAUCAUGGCCCUUACGUCCAGGGCGACACACGUGCUACAAUGGCCGGUACAACGCGUCGCCAACCCGCGAGGGUGCGCUAAUCGCUAAAAGCCGGUCUAAGUUCGGAUUGUAGUCUGCAACUCGACUACAUGAAGCUGGAAUCGCUAGUAAUCGCGGAUCAGCCACGCCGCGGUGAAUACGUUCCCGGGCCUUGUACACACCGCCCGUCACGCCAUGGAAGCUGGGGGGACCUGAAGUCGGUGGGCCAACCGCAAGGGGGCAGCCGCCAAAGGUCAAUUCAGUGACUGGGGCGAAGUCGUAACAAGGUAGCCGUAGGGGAACCUGCGGCUGGAUCACCUCCU
RNAcentral lists this ribosomal RNA (389 nucleotides) under uncultured bacterium. RNAcentral describes it as "bacterial SSU rRNA". It matches the Rfam family "Bacterial small subunit ribosomal RNA", at positions 1144 to 1531 of the family's 1533-position model. The record is from RNAcentral.